UUAAUAGAUUAUGAAUUCCUUACUUUGGAAGUAGCCCAACUGCCAUUGAAAGAGAGAAAAAUAAUCAAUCUCAUAUUCGAUACAUUGAAUCAACAUCGUACUCGCAUUGUUUACAAUAAUGUUCAAUAUUAUACAUUUGAUAUGCAUUAACAGCUUGUUCAGUGUAGUAAUUCUAUGUGCAUGAUUUAUAGGAUCAUUAAUUCAAAUCAUGACACUUCGAAUUCCAAGUCAUUCAAAUUACGAUACAUGAUGUCACGUGAGUAAGAGAGAAAAAAUGUGGGUGGACAGAUCUGUUGGCAUCCAAGGUGUUGUGAGUUGAUUGGUUUAUAGUCCGAAGUUUUAGGUCCUACCACACCCACGCACCCACCCACACACACACACACAAUCGUAUCAUUGAAAUUUUCUCUUGUUUCAAAUAUUUUAUUAUACUAAGGUCGAACCCAUUAAUUAUAAAAUUAAUUUCUCACACACUGAAAAAGACAUGUCAUUGUCUUAACAGAUAAGAAUGAUCUACCAUGUCUUCUUUUAUUUAAAAAAAAAAAAAAAAAAACACUAGGAUAAUAAUAAAAGCAGGACAAGGGUCCACAACUCUUAUCUUCCUCGUAACCUUACCUUUAAUUUUCACAAUUUUGUUUAUAAUUUAAAGUGGUUUGAUGUCACACACCCACUGGGAUGUUUGAAAUGGCUAAUGUAUGAUAUGAAGGGCCACAGUUCGUAUACCCAUUAAUGUACCAAACUUAUAUCUUAUGCUAUAAAGAACUCACACUAUCUUGAUGAAGUUGAAUAUACUUCAUUCAUCCAUAGUUUUUAGUAGAAGAAAGUCAAUAGCGUCUCAAACUUGUGAGUAGGAUCUUAAUUACUCAAAUUUCCAAGUUUAAAUAUUUUCAUCUAUAUAGAAAUAAUUAGAGUGUGGGAAAAAUCAUAAAAUUUAACUUCUUAUUAUUUUGUAAUAAUAAUAAUAAUAAUAAACAUAUUUCAUACAAAAUAUUAUAAUUUUUGAAUAAAAAUAAUAAGUAUGUGAAAAGCAAUACUACUUGACACUAGAAUAAAAUUUGUUGCUUUAUUUACCAAUAAAUAGAAAGUAUUUUAUUUCUUUUUGUAUUUCAUCACUUUUUAUGUAGGAGAAAUACCAUUCUAUCAUUUUAUUGACAUGUAAAACCGACUUUGUGAAAAAAUUUAAUUGUUGAUCAAUAUUUUUAAUUGAUACAAUCAUUGAACUUCCAUGUUAGCAUUAAAGUGAUUAUCAUUCCAUUUAUACUAAUCAAAGUAACGAAAAAAUUAACUUGACUAUUAAACUGAACAUAACUUUUCAUGUCGAUUAUUUGACCAAAAAAUUUAAGUAUAGUAUUCCCUAUUAUUUUAUUUCGACGGGAUUUUCUAUUAGUAUUUAAAUGUUUUGUUUUGUUAUAUUAUUGGUCUAAAUUAGAAUUAAUUGAAAUAUUUUUUUUUUUUAGUACUGGAAGCCGCUCAUAACCUUAAAUUACUUUUUCAAUUGUUAUUCAAUUAGUAAUAAACUUUUUAAAAAAUAUUAAUUUUACAAAUUUUAUUAUUUUACUUAACAUAAAAUUAUAUUGAUAAAUAAACUUCAUUAGAUGCUUUUAUGACAAAAACUGAAUUAUUAAUCACAUAAUAUUCUUUUAAUUAUUAUUUCGUUAUGGAAAAAAGAAGUAUUUUUUGCCAUAAAAUACCAAAUUAUGACAUAACAAACACAGUUAAACCUCAAUAAAGUAAUACCCUCAGAACUGGAAAAAAAAUAUUUAUUUAACGAGGUUAUUUAUUUAUCGAUAAAUGAAUAAAUUAUUCAUUUAUCGAUAAAUAAAUAUUUAUUAUUUUAGAGAGAGUUUUUCAAUAUAAAAUAUGUACAUUGUAUGUGGUAAGAAAAAUCAAAAGAUACUAAUCAAAGUAUUAUUUGAAUCUAGGGAAGCUCAAAAGUUUUAGUAAAAUUUAAUGUCUCUAAAAAUUAAGUUCACGUACACAGCAAAUGAAAAUGUUUACUCUUUACCUAUAAAAGCUAGAUGUUUGGAAAACAUAUUCUAAGCACAUACAAUAUUUUGUUUCCCUUUUAAUGUCUUCUCAUCAUUUGAAAGGAGUAAAAAAAUCAACUUUAACCGAUAAAAUGAAGAGUGCAAUAUGUGAGCAUAAGAAAGAGAAUCCAACUAUUUGCCAAAAAGAUAUGCAAGCAUGGGUGCAACAAAAGUUUGAUUUGACUAUUAGUCAAUCAACAAUAUUGAACACUCUCAAAAGGGCGUCAGAAUAUUUCUCAAAUGAGAUGAAAAAUAGCGAUGUUAAAAGGCACAAAUCGGCAAAAUAUCAUAAUUUAGAGAGAAGUUUUGUAUGAGUGGUUUCUUUAAAUGCAAAAUAAAGUGAACAUGUUUGGAGAAAUUAUCCAAGGAAAAGCAAAAAGUUUUUGCAAAAAAUGUAUGGUGAAACUAAUCCAGAAUUCAACUUUUCUAGUAGAUGGUUAUAACGUUUCAAGACAAGAUAUGGAAUCAAAUCUUACCGACGUUUUGGUGAAAGUGGUUCAGUUAUCAUAGAGAACAUUGAAAAUGCUUUACCUGGAAUACGAUCAAAACUAGACCAAUUUCAGUUGAAGGAUAUUUACAAUAUGGAUGAAACUGGAUUAUUUUACCGAUUGGAAACUGAUCAUUCACUUGCUACCAAGCAGCUCGAUGGACGCAAAAAAGAUAAGGAGAGAAUUAUUAUUGUUGUUUGUUGCAAUGAUGAUGGAUCUGACAAAGUACUACUUUGGGUUAUUAGUAAGUAUGCAAAUUCUAGAUGCUUUAAAAAUGUGAAUGUGAACAAUCUUAAUUACAAGUAUCGAUUCAACAAGAAAGCUUAGAUGACUGACUUGUUUUUUCAAUAUUUUGUUGGUUGUUUUGAUAAGAGAAUGAAUGACAGAAAGAUUCUCUGAAUUGUAGACAAUUGUCCAACUCAUCCAAAGGUAGUUGAAGGCUUGGGAAAUGUAGAGUUAUUUUUCUUACCUCCUAACACAACGUUUAAGAUUCAACAAUGUAAUGUUGGGAUUAUUCGAGCAUUCAAAGCUCAUUAUCGUCGUCGUUUUAAUUCUAGCAUCUUACAAGGCCUUGAGGUUGAAGCACCAAAUCCUGAAAAAAUUAAUAUUUUGAAUGCUAUUAAUUUUGCUAACAUAGCUUGGAAUUUUGAUGUGAAGACAACAACAAUUGCAAAUUGUUUUCGGCAUU
RNAcentral lists this small RNA (3200 nucleotides) under Olea europaea subsp. europaea. The record is from RNAcentral. Lineage: Eukaryota; Viridiplantae; Streptophyta; Magnoliopsida; Lamiales; Oleaceae.